This 254-nucleotide ribosomal RNA is filed under the name uncultured bacterium. RNAcentral describes it as "partial 16S ribosomal RNA". It matches the Rfam family "Bacterial small subunit ribosomal RNA", at positions 524 to 776 of the family's 1533-position model. The record is from RNAcentral.
UACGGGGGGAGCAAGCGUUGUUCGGAUUUACUGGGCGUAAAGGGCGCGUAGGCGGCCAGUGCAAGUCAGUUGUGAAAUCUCCGAGCUUAACUCGGAAAGGUCAACUGAUACUGCUCGGCUAGAGUGCGGAAGGGGCAACUGGAAUUCUUGGUGUAGCGGUGAAAUGCGUAGAUAUCAAGAGGAACACCUGCGGCGAAGGCGGGUUGCUGGGCCGACACUGACGCUGAAGCGCGAAAGCUAGGGGAGCGAACGGG